This 262-nucleotide unclassified non-coding RNA is filed under the name uncultured fungus. RNAcentral describes it as "sequence contains ITS2". The stretch from base 1 to 52 matches the Rfam family "5.8S ribosomal RNA", at positions 103 to 154 of the family's 154-position model. Lineage: Eukaryota; Fungi. The record is from RNAcentral.
AACGCACAUUGCGCCCGCCAGUAUUCUGGCGGGCAUGCCUGUUCGAGCGUCAUUUCAACCCCUCAAGCUCCGCUUGGUGUUGGGGCUCCUACGUGCGCCGUAGGCCCCGAAUUCUAGUGGCGGGCUCGCCGCGAUCCCGAGCGUAGUAGUAGCAUUACCCCUCGCUCAGGGCGUCGCGGCGGGUGCCGGCCGUGAAAGAAAAACCUAUUUUACAACAUGACAGGUUGACCUCGGAUCAGGUAGGAAUACCCGCUGAACUUAA